This 538-nucleotide ribosomal RNA is filed under the name Neofusicoccum ribis. RNAcentral's name for it is "eukaryotic LSU rRNA". The stretch from base 203 to 356 matches the Rfam family "5.8S ribosomal RNA". The record is from RNAcentral. Lineage: Eukaryota; Fungi; Ascomycota; Dothideomycetes; Botryosphaeriales; Botryosphaeriaceae.
GGUGAACCUGCGGAAGGAUCAUUACCGAGUUGAUUCGAGCUCCGGCUCGACUCUCCCACCCUAUGUGUACCUACCUCUGUUGCUUUGGCGGGCCGCGGUCCUCCGCACCGGCGCCCUUCGGGGGGCUGGCCAGCGCCCGCCAGAGGACCAUAAAACUCCAGUCAGUGAACUUCGCAGUCUGAAAAACAAGUUAAUAAACUAAAACUUUCAACAACGGAUCUCUUGGUUCUGGCAUCGAUGAAGAACGCAGCGAAAUGCGAUAAGUAAUGUGAAUUGCAGAAUUCAGUGAAUCAUCGAAUCUUUGAACGCACAUUGCGCCCCUUGGUAUUCCGAGGGGCAUGCCUGUUCGAGCGUCAUUUCAACCCUCAAGCUCUGCUUGGUAUUGGGCCCCGUCCUCCACGGACGCGCCUUAAAGACCUCGGCGGUGGCGUCUUGCCUCAAGCGUAGUAGAAAACACCUCGCUUUGGAGCGCACGGCGUCGCCCGCCGGACGAACCUUUGAAUUAUUUCUCAAGGUUGACCUCGGAUCAGGUAGGGAU